UCGUUAAGUCCGCUAACGAGCGCAACCCUCGCUGUGUGUUAUAUGUGUCACACGGGACUGCCGGUCUUAAGCCGGAGGAAGGUGGGGGAGUGAUGUCAAGUCAGCAUGGCCUUUAUAUCCUGGGCUACACACACGCUACAAUGGCCAACACAAUAGGUUGCUAAGCCGCGAGGUGGCGCCAAUCCAUAAAGUUGGUCUCAGUUCAGAUUGUAGGCUGCAACCCGCCUGCAUGAAGAUGGAGUUGCUAGUAACCGCAGGUCAGCUAUACUGCGGUGAAUACGUUCCCGGGGCUU
Molecule: ribosomal RNA, 293 nt
Filed under: uncultured Leptolinea sp.
Lineage: Bacteria; Bacillati; Chloroflexota; Anaerolineae; Anaerolineales; Anaerolineaceae
Description: partial 16S ribosomal RNA
Rfam family: Bacterial small subunit ribosomal RNA
Source: RNAcentral